RNAcentral lists this ribosomal RNA (765 nucleotides) under Brevundimonas vesicularis. RNAcentral's name for it is "bacterial SSU rRNA". It matches the Rfam family "Bacterial small subunit ribosomal RNA", at positions 125 to 925 of the family's 1533-position model. Lineage: Bacteria; Pseudomonadati; Pseudomonadota; Alphaproteobacteria; Caulobacterales; Caulobacteraceae. The record is from RNAcentral.
CGUGCCUUUAGGUUCGGAAUAACUCAGGGAAACUUGUGCUAAUACCGAAUGUGCCCUUCGGGGGAAAGAUUUAUCGCCUUUAGAGCGGCCCGCGUCUGAUUAGCUAGUUGGUGAGGUAAAGGCUCACCAAGGCGACGAUCAGUAGCUGGUCUGAGAGGAUGAUCAGCCACAUUGGGACUGAGACACGGCCCAAACUCCUACGGGAGGCAGCAGUGGGGAAUCUUGCGCAAUGGGCGAAAGCCUGACGCAGCCAUGCCGCGUGAAUGAUGAAGGUCUUAGGAUUGUAAAAUUCUUUCACCGGGGACGAUAAUGACGGUACCCGGAGAAGAAGCCCCGGCUAACUUCGUGCCAGCAGCCGCGGUAAUACGAAGGGGGCUAGCGUUGCUCGGAAUUACUGGGCGUAAAGGGAGCGUAGGCGGACAUUUAAGUCAGGGGUGAAAUCCCGGGGCUCAACCUCGGAAUUGCCUUUGAUACUGGGUGUCUUGAGUAUGAGAGAGGUGUGUGGAACUCCGAGUGUAGAGGUGAAAUUCGUAGAUAUUCGGAAGAACACCAGUGGCGAAGGCGACACACUGGCUCAUUACUGACGCUGAGGCUCGAAAGCGUGGGGAGCAAACAGGAUUAGAUACCCUGGUAGUCCACGCCGUAAACGAUGAUUGCUAGUUGUCGGGAUGCAUGCAUUUCGGUGACGCAGCUAACGCAUUAAGCAAUCCGCCUGGGGAGUACGGUCGCAAGAUUAAAACUCAAAGGAAUUGACGGGGGCCCGCA